Oncorhynchus mykiss (rainbow trout) is the source of this 950-nucleotide long non-coding RNA. RefSeq lists it as uncharacterized. NCBI's taxonomy places the organism in Eukaryota, Metazoa, Chordata, Actinopteri, Salmoniformes, Salmonidae. The record is from RefSeq and is a predicted model, not a curated record.
GAAAUAAAACAACUCCGCAAACCAUCGGCUACCACGUUCGGUCAAAACUUGCUUUAGCCAGCCUCUCCACCGGUCAUGGUAGGGCUAAGUUCGCUCUUUUGCUACCAGAUAAUAUGUCCAGUUCCGUCACCGAACUGGAGUUUUCCUUUGUUAGCCUUUCGUGCCACUGCAACAUUCCUGCGUUUUUCGUCCGCGGAAACAGAUUCCUGCCGCACACGUAAAUAUGAGAGAAUCCAGGUUUCCGGGAAUCGGGAAUUCCAUGCCAAUGCUGUGAUGUAGAGGUUGCAUUCCAGACUUUUAACUUCUCCCAAGUGGCAUUGUCCCUCUCUUUCUCUCUCUCUCUGUCCCCUCACACAGGCUGGCAGACAGUCCGGCACGAGGCGAAGGUUGGCGCUUUCUACUGGUGCCAACUACGCUCUGCUGCACCGCAAAGCAUCAUGGGAUGAUAAGUCGGGAUGAGGCGAAGCGAGGCAUUGUGGGGAGAGAUAUUGAAGCUCAAUCACCUGCGGAGGAGCUGAGGGGAUCCGAGGGCUGCUCGGGGGACUUUGCGAUGCAAAUGUGAGGUAAUUACCUAAAGCCAGGAGAGCGAGGGGAAGGCAUCCCAGGCUAAAAUAGAGCAAGAAGGAAAAGCGACGGUGAGAGACGCGAAAGAUUCACAAGCCUGUUGAUGCUGACUGAUUGGAGCACUCGGAAUGAAGGGCAAAAAUGGAGGGGUGUUGUGUAGGAAAGGGAUUCACAGAAGACUGCUGUGCCCUUGUGUUUUAAGCCCAUUCAUGUGUCUGUGCGUGUCCUCUUUUUCUUCUGAAAAAAAAAGAUUAAUGUGUUCCAUGUUUUUCCUAACUCCAGAGAGAUUUGGUUAGUCGUCGUUGUGUGAUUAGCUUAAUGUAUGUCAUGGUUGCCAUGUUCAAGUGUAAUAGGCUGUAUUUGGAGAAUAAAAGCCUUUGACUAUG